GGCAAGGUGGCCGAGCGGUCUAAGGCGCCACGUUAAGGAGUUUCAAAUCCUUGAUCCUGACUCUUGCGAGUUUCCGUGGUCUCGAAAGGGGCGUGAGUUCGAAUCUCACCCUUGUCA
Molecule: transfer RNA, 117 nt
Filed under: Chaetomium tenue
Lineage: Eukaryota; Fungi; Ascomycota; Sordariomycetes; Sordariales; Chaetomiaceae
Description: tRNA-Leu
Rfam family: tRNA
About the family: Transfer RNA (tRNA) molecules are approximately 80 nucleotides in length. Their secondary structure includes four short double-helical elements and three loops (D, anti-codon, and T loops).
Source: RNAcentral